Molecule: non-coding RNA, 118 nt
Organism: Aedes albopictus (Asian tiger mosquito)
Lineage: Eukaryota; Metazoa; Arthropoda; Insecta; Diptera; Culicidae
Source: Rfam
UGCCCCGCAACUCCUAUCCCUGCCUCCUCGCGGUACCGGCCGGAAACUAUGAGCAACCUUAGGGAAGAUCGGGUAACCAACCCCGGUGGGAACUUUGGUCGUAGCCUGACAGGGAAGG